UUAAAGAUUUAUUUAAUUUUUUUUUUACAUGUUAAUUUUUGUGUGGAUUUUAAUUAUAAUUUUAAAAAUUUAUUUAGUAUAUUUUAUUCGCAGUAUUUGAUUUUAAUAAUUUAAGAAAUUAAGAAUUAGGAAUUAAUUUUAGUAUCAACAAAUUUUGUGCCAGCAGUUGCGGUUAUACAAAAGAUAUAAAUAAAUUUUAUUAGUAAGUAAUUAUAUGUUAUUAUAGUUAGAUUAAAAUUAUAAUUAUUAGGUGAAAUUUUAAUUAUAAAUUUAAUUUAAAAUUAAUAUUUUAAUAUUAUGAAAUUUUUAUUUAAACUAGGAUUAGAUACCCUAUUAUUUAAAAUGUAAAAAGGUUUACUUAAGUAGUAAUAGUUAUGUUCUUUAAAUUUAAAGAUUUUGGCGGUAUUUUAGUCUAUUUAGAGGAACCUGUUCUAUAAUUGAUAGUCCACGAUAAACUUUACUUAUUUUAGAAAUUUGUAUACCGUCGUUAUUAGAAAAUUUUAUAAGAAAAUAAAUUUUUAAUAUUUUAAAUUAAAAAAUAUAUCAGAUCAAGGUGCAGUUUAUAUCUAAGAAGAAAUGGGUUACAAUAAAUUUAUUUAUAUGGAUUAAAAAUUUAAUAGUUUUUAUGAAGGUGGAUUUAAAAGUAAUUAAAUUUAAUUUAAUUUAAUGAUUUUAGCUCUAAAAUAUGUACAUAUCGCCCGUCGCUCUUAUUAUAAGAUAAGAUAAGUCGUAACAUAGUAGAUGUACUGGAAAGUGUAUCUAGAAUGAA
This 769-nucleotide non-coding RNA is filed under the name Calathus melanocephalus. Lineage: Eukaryota; Metazoa; Arthropoda; Insecta; Coleoptera; Carabidae. The record is from RNAcentral.